This 140-nucleotide ribosomal RNA is filed under the name Proteus mirabilis. RNAcentral describes it as "partial 16S ribosomal RNA". It matches the Rfam family "Bacterial small subunit ribosomal RNA", at positions 1403 to 1533 of the family's 1533-position model. Lineage: Bacteria; Pseudomonadati; Pseudomonadota; Gammaproteobacteria; Enterobacterales; Morganellaceae. The record is from RNAcentral.
CAUGGGAGUGGGUUGCAAAAGAAGUAGGUAGCUUAACCUUCGGGAGGGCGCUUACCACUUUGUGAUUCAUGACUGGGGUGAAGUCGUAACAAGGUAACCGUAGGGGAACCUGCGGUUGGAUCACCUCCUUACCUAAGAGA